RNAcentral lists this non-coding RNA (160 nucleotides) under Telmatospirillum sp. RNAcentral's name for it is "6S RNA". It matches the Rfam family "6S / SsrS RNA". From Rfam's summary of the family: E. coli 6S RNA was the first non coding RNA to be sequenced, but its function was unknown until recently. It consists of 184 nucleotides that fold into an extended hairpin structure with a large single-stranded internal bulge. The 6S RNA specifically associates with RNA polymerase holoenzyme containing the sigma70 specificity factor. Lineage: Bacteria; Pseudomonadati; Pseudomonadota; Alphaproteobacteria; Rhodospirillales; Rhodospirillaceae. The record is from RNAcentral.
CGGGCGCUGCACGGUGCGAUCGGUCAAUUUAUCCCCGGGGCCAAUGUAUGAACUCCAGGGAGCUGUCCCUGCCGGAAUCGUGGUUCCGGUAUAUGGUUCCCACCUGCUAAGUGCAGGCCACGGAGGGAUUAUGCUACCGGACGGCCGAGGCGGCUCCGCC